CCCAGACUCCUACGGGAGGCAGCAGUGAGGAAUAUUGGUCAAUGGGCGGAAGCCUGAACCAGCCAAGUCGCGUGAGGGAUUAAGGCCCUGCGGGUCGUAAACCUCUUUUGCCGGGGAGCAGAGGUCCGGACGUGUCCGGGCCGGGAGAGUACCCGGAGAAAAAGCAUCGGCUAACUCCGUGCCAGCAGCCGCGGUAAUACGGAGGAUGCGAGCGUUAUCCGGAUUUAUUGGGUUUAAAGGGUGCGCAGGCGGGGAUUUAAGUCAGGGGAAAAAUUGGGGGGCCCACCCCGGACGAGCCGUUGAAACUGGCUUGCUAGAGUGGGCGAGAAGUAUGCGGAAUGCGUGGUGUAGCGGUGAAAUGCAUAGAUAUCACGCAGAACUCCGAUUGCGAAGGCAGCAUACCGGCCCCAACUGACGCUCAGGCACGAAAGCGUGGGUAUCGAACAGGAUUAGAUACCCCAGUA
RNAcentral lists this ribosomal RNA (464 nucleotides) under uncultured bacterium. RNAcentral's name for it is "bacterial SSU rRNA". It matches the Rfam family "Bacterial small subunit ribosomal RNA", at positions 330 to 792 of the family's 1533-position model. The record is from RNAcentral.